UGUGCAGGCGGCUUUGUAAGUCAGUGGUGAAAGCCCGGAGCUCAACUCUGGAACUGCCUUAGAUACUGGUUAUCUUGAGUUUUAGUGAAGUAGAUAGAAUGCGUAGUGUAGCGGUGAAAUGCUUAGAUAUUACACAGAACACCGAUUGCGAAGGCAGCUUACUGGACCAUUACUGACGCUGAGGCACGAAAGCGUGGGGAGCGAACAGGAUUAGAUACCCUGGUAGUCC
RNAcentral lists this ribosomal RNA (229 nucleotides) under uncultured bacterium. RNAcentral describes it as "partial 16S ribosomal RNA". It matches the Rfam family "Bacterial small subunit ribosomal RNA", at positions 568 to 796 of the family's 1533-position model. The record is from RNAcentral.